UGAGCUUUGGGAAAUCAUUUAGGGACUGGAAUGUAGCUCAGUUAGUGGGGUGCUUGCAUGAGUUCAAUCUCUAGAACUACAUAAAACAGAAUGGGACCUCAGCCAUGGGAUCUCGCCACAUUCGGGUGUGUGUCCCUCCUUCAGUCAAACCUCUGAGAGUGUCUUCACAGCACUGCUACAAGUAGGUUUCCUGGAUAUCAAGUCUCCGAGCCCAAACCAAGAGUGUUCAGCGGGGCAGAGGUGGAAAACAAAGUUCUAUGAGAAGCCCAUAGGUUUUGUGACGAACCAGCCUUGCUUCUGCCCGUGAAGCCCACAUCCGUGCCUUUUACUCAUGGAAACCACGUAACUAUUUCUGAUUCAAAGAACACUGGACACCUGUGAUGCAGGGCCCUAUCUUCUCAGAGGGUCAUUCCCAUAUCAAGCUGGAUCUUCAGUAGGUCAUCACCUCUUCCCAGUGGCUUCUGGCAGGAGUGUGUGCUAGUACUCAUUAAUCCAUGGGUGUGAGCCCAUUGUUGAUUGCUCCUCCUUUGGAAUAACUCUCUUGUUCAGAAGUGAUAUCUAGAAGACAUCAAAUUUUGUAACCACAGAUGGUGAUGCUGGCAGAUGGUUUCUAGGCAGGGAAGCAAUUGUGUAGUCAGAAUACAUGCCUACUACAGUUUAAA
This is a long non-coding RNA of Mus musculus (house mouse), 662 nucleotides long. RefSeq annotates it as predicted gene, 41952. The transcript is spliced from 3 exons. NCBI's taxonomy places the organism in Eukaryota, Metazoa, Chordata, Mammalia, Rodentia, Muridae. The record is from RefSeq and is a predicted model, not a curated record.